GGGCUCGCAGCCCUAAGCCCGCAGGGGCCGCGAGGGAGGGGCUCGCGGGGAGGGGACUGUCUGCGCGCGCUCAAGGGGUCUCCGAGGCCACGGGUCCGUCUGUGCCGAAUCCGGGAUCGCUGUGGACCCCAGCCCGAUCCGCAGGCCCCAUUUAACCUCCUUACAGCAGCCCAGAGGGGAAGGGCCGAAAGCAACCUGCUUAUUGAUUCCUUCAGAUGGAGACCAGUGUUCCCGCAUAGCAGGUUUGGGCGGUCGGGGCCAGAAACCCGCGGCGGGACACUUUUCAUAAGGAUUCUUCAAAGAAUCAGGGUUACCGGGGGCGCGAUGCCAGCCGCAAACCUCCUGAAGAACAGACCCUGGAGUCACGACUCCGGUAAAGGUGGACGUUUCGCCAACUCACUCCCCCUCCUUGGCCCGCUCCACUCCUCCUGCCUGAGGUUGAGUGUUCUGUGGCAGGUCUCCGGAGAAAGGGACCGUCAAGCAGUGUGCCCAGUGGCUCGUUUUCAGCUGCGGAGAAGCACAUCAGACCCCCCGGAGGCGCGAGCAGCCGGGUCUGCGCCCCGGAGUGCAGUACUCGCGGCUGACCUUAUGACCGCUGGAGGAGCGGGAGUUCUGCCUUCGACCUGAGCCUCUGGGUUCUCCCUUUCCUCUCUUUCAUUAACCCGCUGAAAAUCUUAUUUUUAAUCUGGUGAAAUAAAACAAGUGAGUUCAGACCCCCAGAAGCUGGAAGGUCCUGAGAAUUCUGGCACAUUCAAGGUUGUGUGUGGCCCUUUCACUGUGCAAGGGUGAAAUCUAGGACACACAGGAAACAUUAUCAUGAACCUAAAACUGAAAUGGCUUAAAUUCUAGCCCCCACCUCUUAGGAAGUUUGGCUUUUAAUUUCGGGAGACUCUUAAGUUUCAUCUGGAAAGUGUGUUGACUUUUUGUGUUUGAUAUCUUUUUCCAUUUUCAUUUUUUCCAAGUCAUUAGAAAAAUUCACUGUAAAAAACACUGCUUUGGGCCUAGAGAAUGUGGGGUCCUGUCUCUUGGGGAUGUCUAACAGGAGAGAGUUGAACUUGUGGUGAAGGAGAGGGAGUGACUAGGAGACAGGUGCAUCCCUUGUUGUUCAGAUGGUGUGACUGAAGGCAAUGUGGUAACACAGCUGACCUGAGGGGCAGUGGACUCUCACCUGAAGCAGACCCAGGGUCUGUGUGUCCUGAUCUCAGGGGGUUUUCUUUUUGUUUUGUGACCUUAUCCUAUGCAAUGUGUAUGUGUAAUUUAAGGUAGGGCAAGAGGGAAGAUGACAGUGUCUACUUGCAAAGUCCUAUGAGUUCAUUGGACAUAAGGAAAGGGCAUAAGACAAGGUUGAAAGCUGAUAUCGAAGGAGAAGCAGUCACUCCAUGUUUUAUUAUUUAACUUCCAUGGAAGCCCUCUCAGGUUUUAUCAGAUUCAUCUUAUUGGUGAAGAAACUGAAUUUCAAAGAGGCCUUGCAGCUGGCCCAGCUCAGCCAUGUGCUCAGAAGGAAGGCUCAGCUGGACCUGCACAUGGGGACCCUCUGCCUCCAGGCCCUGUACUUGCUGUUGAUCAACUGCCCUACCAGCUGCUGGGCCUCAGAUCCAGCGAGGUUUAGGGUUAGGGUUAGGGUUAGGACUUGUAAGAGGUGGGGCCUAGUGGGAGGUCAGUACUGGCCCUCUCUGCUCUUUGGCUUUCUGUCUUCCCAUGCAGUCUCUUCUUCCUUCCACCAGGAGCUACCUGCCAUGAUAUGCCACAUCUGAGGAGCUCUCAGAAAAGCGGGUGCCAUGCUAUCUGUACUUUCAGCCUCCCAAACUGUGAGCCAAACAAACCACAUUUCUUUACAAAUUACCCAGCUUCAGAUAUUUCAUUGUAGCAAUAGAAAACAGGCUAAUAACAGUGAUUGUAUAACUUCUUUCUGGUUGUAAAUAUUGUUUGAAAGUGAAAGGAGCAUGAUUAAUUCUGAUGCUGAGAUAAGAGGUGCAAUCAGGACAGGUUGACCCGGGGGGAUGGUGGCAUCUCACAGGUUAUCUUUCUGUCUAAAACAUAGACUCCUGGAUCAACUCUUUAAAAGGCUAAAGCCAAAUGUUAAAAAUGAGAAACAACCAACGUUUAAAUAAUAGUCAAAGUGUCAAGAAAAUUAUACCUAGUCCACUUAAAAGUAUAUUAUACAGCAACAAUAUUAUAGUUAUGAAGAUUACAUGGAACAUAGAAAUAUUUAUGAUCUACUUGAUUUUAAAUGAGAAAGCAGAGUGCAAGAUCGUACCCCGAUGUUGCUACCAUUAUAUAAAACUAUGGUAAAAGUAAGGAAAAGUCUAGAAGGAAAAUAUUUUGAUUGGUAACUCUUGUUACAUUAAAAUAGUGGGUUAUUCUCAGCUGGUUCCCUCCUCUGUCCUCUCCAGCACAUGAAUCCAAAUGUCACUUCACCUGCAGGAGAGUCAGGGUGGGCAGAAGACCUGUAUGGUCCAUAAGUUCUCCUUUUCCUUUCUCAGAAGAUCACAGAAAGUUCUGUCUCACCAGAGGAAUGAACAGAUAUGUACCUGGACCCACAGUGUGACAGAUUAUCUUUUGUUGUUACAAUUAUUCCUUUUUACUUGAUUUUCAGACAUUUGUAAAAGGAAUGUGUUGCAGUUGUGAUAAAAAAAAAGUUACAUUAAAGAUUAAGUUAACAACUUUGGGGUAGUUGAAUACAGUGCAUUUAGUUAAAAAAUAAUAAUCUCUAAGGACAACUACGGGUUUCAACUAGGGGUUGGGGGAAAAAUGGUUAGGGAAUCUGCAGCCAGAGCCUACACCAAUCAAACAAGAAAAGAAGGAAGGGAAGGGAAGAAGGGAGGUGUUUACAAUAGGUAGUCACUUGAGCCUUGAGUUGCACCUGCCAAAGGCUUCUCCCAAGAGCAUUUAAUCAGUGUUCCCAGGUACUAGCUCUCUCCAGCUGCAGUUUUGAUAAAAAGGCAGAACUAGUGUUUUUCCACGUACUUUGCCUCAAAGGAACAUCUCCAAUGAGCACCAAUCUCAUAAGGUCACCAUUCCACCAUUCCACCUCAAAAUAUCUGUCCCAGAGCUGGGAAGGGUGGUACACACCAAUAAUCUCAGUAACUCUGAAAGUAGAGGCAAGAGGGUUGCCAAUUUGAGGCCAGCCUAGGCAACUUAGUGCGAACCCCAGUCAAAGUUGACCCUGUCUCAAAAAAAAAAAAAAAAGGUUAGGCAUAUAUAUAGAUCAAUGGUAAAGUGCCCCUGGGUUCAAUCCCCAGUACCAAAAAUAAAACAAGUAAAUAAAUAAAUUUGCCCAAUUUGUAUAAGAAAAUAUCUGACCAAAAUUCAUGCACAUAGUUUGUUUUAUUGAAGUAGAUUGUUAAGGUCACUGUCGAUGUUGAAAAACAUUGUCUGUGUGGAUCUGUGUCAUUACAAGGUCACAGGACACAUUAAACCACUCAUUUCUCCAUCAGCAAAGCCUAUGACUGGAAGGCACAUUCCAUAUCUGAAGUGCCAUCCACACAGAUCUGUUUAGCUUCAUGACAAUAGUAUUAAGUAAGUCCUGUGUCUUUCCCUUCCUUAUAAUUCUGUAAACCAAAGCACAGAGAAAUUAAGCAGGCCCAAGAUAAUGUGGCAAAUGCAUGGCUACCAUGCUUUGGGAUAGUUUGCAAUCCAAGGGUGGAUGACUGAUAUAACUCUUAUGGUCCUGGCCUCCAGGAAAGCAGGAACUCACUUUCCCAGAUGGCCUUGCAGCCAGGCGUCGGCAUGUGACCUGUCUCAGCCUGUCAGAACUUCAAGGUGGAAGAGGAAAGCCUGAAGGGGGCUAGUUCUGGGUGAGUGGGUGGAGGAGCCCUGCCCAGCUUCCGGAGGCAGCUUUGAAGCUCAGGUUCAUGGUUCCAUCUAGAGGUUGGACCCAGGCUGGAGCGGGCUUCUUCCUUGGGAUGCUUCAGUGUUGUAAUCUAGAUGACGUUCCAGGCUGUGUAGCAGCCUUCGAAUCAAAUUUCUGACCUCCUAGAGAUUCUUUGUGUGACAUGGGUACAUCCCUUUGGUGCAAAAAUGACUUUGUUUCUUUUAACCCAGGACGUCUGGCCAAGUUAGACUGCCCUUGUUGGGAAUAGUGCCCGGCACGCGGUCCUUGCUCCUUUCAUUUGCUGUCCUUUACCCCCACCCCAACUCACGUGUCCUCACGCUUCACCUUGCUUCUCAAAGUCUUUGCUUCAGUGACCACCUGUUUGCUCUUUUCCAUCCCAACCUAACUCAGCCGGGAAAGUGGGUUUUCUCUCCUCACUGGCUUGGAUCAGUUAGCCAAAGCUGGCAGCAGCGCGGUGUGGGGAAGGAUUGGUGCUGGACUUAGAGGGAAGUACACAUUGUGAAGACUUCAGCUUGCACCUGUUUUUUUCAAGUGAGUUUAAGCCAGGCAAGUGCUAUUCAGCCACAGAUGACAUUCUGUAGGCUACUUUGUAUCUAAGUGUGACCUGAGGUCUGAGUAAAACUUAGAAUAUAAUUUGCAGGCUAUUUAAGUACAGUUAUUUCCAGAAUCUGGAAAAGGCAUUGGUUCGGUCACCAUGGAGGCUCUGUGUUAACCACCCUGUCCUAUUACAUAGGAGAGAAAUAAUUUUCUUAUUUGAUCCUCUGGAUUACUUUUUCUUAAAGCAAACUAACCAGGGCCCUAACUAAUAUGAGCCAUGUUAUCCUAAAACAUAAAUAUUACUAGGAAACCGUAUAAGAUUUAAAAUCUCAUAUGACAGCUUAAUCAAAUGACUUUCUUCCAGGCUCAUUGCAGUUAAGUCAAGGUCAACCUGCUGCUAGGGAUGCUAGUUCCCCAUCACUUGGCCUGAUGUCAUGGCAGAGGUCCUUAACGAUGAUCUCAUCCUCCUCUAAGUGGGAUUUUAAUAGCUUGAUUUUAGAGAAUGAACCCAUAAAAUGGACUUCAGAUCAUUCAUGCAUGAGCUUUUUAUUAGGCUUUUCCUCGGCCACUGUCUCUCCCCUCUUCCCCUUCCAACGGGGACACAGGUUGCUGAUAGAGUACAUUAAUGCCACCCCACCAUUCCUUGGGUGUGUGAGCUGUCUCCCUUUUAGAUCAGACAUGGCGUUCAGCCCCUCAUGGAUGCAAGAAUUCUUUGCAAGAUGUCUUCCUGGGAUACACUUAGCACAGGGGCUGAAGCAAGGGAGGAUUGCUGUUUUAGUCAACUUUUCUGUCACUUUGACCAAAAGACCUGACAAGAACAAUUUCAGAGGAGGAAAAGUUUAUUUGGGGCUCACAGUUUCAGAGGUCUCCAUCCAUGGCCAACUCCGUUACUCUGCUCCUGAGGUGAGGCAGAACAUCAUGGUAGAAGGGCAUGGUGGAGGAAAUCAGCUCAGGACCUGACUACCAGGAAGCACAGAGAUCUCCACUCACCAGGGACAAAUAUAUACUGCAAAGGCACACUCCCAGUGACCCACUCCUUCAGUCACACCCUACCCUCCUAUGGUUACUACCCCGUUAGUCCCUAUUAGUGGAUUAGUGCACUAAUUAGGUUAAGGCUCUCAUAACCCAAUCUUUUCAUCUCUGAACGUUCUUGUAUUGUCUCACAUGAGCUUUCCAGAGACACCUCAUAUCUAAACCAUAAUAGCUGGUCUUCUCAAUUAUGAAAAUGGUCUCAUUUUAAUUCUCAGGGUCCUACUUAUUUCCAACCGAUGCUAAUUCACAUGGGAGAAGUUUGAUAUGGCUGUGAAUUCAAGGCACUUUAUAAUUCUGCAACCUCAAGAAUCAAAUUUUAAAAAUAUAUAUUUUUAGUUAUAAAUGGACACAAUACCUUUAUUUCAUUUGCUUACUUUUUAUGUGGUGUUGAGGAACUCAGGGCCUCACACAUGCUACGCUAGCACUCUACCACUGAGCCCCAGCCCCAGCCCUAGGAAUCACAUUUUGGGGGUGUUUUCCAGCAGAUCUGAGAGUUACAAUAUUUUAGGGUUGCUACAGGACAUUCCCCUGGUCUGACUGCCCCCUCCCUCCUGUCAUAUGUAAUAGCUGCAGCUCUGCGUCUCUUCUUUAAAAACAAUUUCCCAAGUUGCUGUCAGCAGUGGCACCCCCCUACUUUGUUGUCAUUGGUUCCUCAAUGGUCAGUGCAGAAGGUGCUCUCCAAAGCUUUCCUUCCAAUGGGUUUGUCACCCCAGGCCACCACAGGUGUGCUAAUGACGGCAUGGUGAAGCUACAGCUUUAUGGCUUUAUGCUAAUAACCAUUUUCCAAUUGGCCACUGGCACUAACACCGUGACCCAGCUUAAGGUCAAAGUUGAUUGGUCGUCUUGGUCUUUGAAUCCCCUCCUGUUACUGGGCUGUGGAUGAGUCAGGGUCCAAUCAGGAACACAGGGCAAGUGUUUCAACAGAAGAGAUUUAAUCCAGGCAAUUAGUCACAAAAAUGCGAAAGCCCUCCAGGACCCAAAGAAGAAAUGGAGUGGUGAAGAAAACAAGAAGGAGGUUUCUUGUCCUGAGGUUUCAGCUGCUGACCUUUCACCUGGAGCUGCCCUUUAGGGACUGGGGAGGCGCUGUCACCUUGGGCUGCACAGAUGCCCAGAGGCUUCACCUGCACCGCCACUGUGGCAACUGCCAGGAACCGGCAGGGACCUCACCACCCCUCUCUUCAUUCAUGGCUCCAGUGUCUGGUGGUCAGAACUGAGCCUGUGGAUGGGGUGUGGACUCCCUGGAGGACCACAUAAACCAUUUCUGUGACAAUCUCUGAAUGAUUCCUCUUGGGCUAUCCUUAGCUUUUGGAGGAGAGAAGAAGGGACCUGAGCUGGCUUUGGUAAUUACGGAAUAGAGAUUUUUCUCUGGCAGUUGAAGGAAUUCUUGAGUGGUGAAAUGAGCCACGUAUUCCUUCCUGAAGAAGAGACUGCUUGGUCCUAAAGAGACUUCCAGAGAUGAUAAUCUCAUCUUCCCUGUCCUUUUCAUCUUUGCUUGAGGCAAAGACAGCUUCUUUCUGGUUGUGUGGAAAUGUGAAAUGACAGCUGAUACUGUGCCAAGGUAGCAUCUCUAUUCAACGCUACCUUCAAUAGUAGGUCUAAAUAUAGGUUCCAGUGUAGAACUCUGAGGAGGGGAGGUGGAUUCUGCUUUCUGGCACUGUUAAGGGGUGGUGAGUGCAAUAUCAUCAUUAGUCAAAAC
RNAcentral lists this long non-coding RNA (7100 nucleotides) under Marmota monax (woodchuck). The record is from RNAcentral. Lineage: Eukaryota; Metazoa; Chordata; Mammalia; Rodentia; Sciuridae.